GUCUACAGCCAUACCACCCUGAACAUGCCCGAUCUCAUCUGAUCUCAAAAGCUAAGCAGGGUCAGACCUGGUUAGUACUUGGAUGGGAGGCUGCUUCUGAACAGAUGCCCACAGACC
Ribosomal RNA from Cricetulus griseus (Chinese hamster), 117 nucleotides. The record is from Ensembl. NCBI's taxonomy places the organism in Eukaryota, Metazoa, Chordata, Mammalia, Rodentia, Cricetidae.